CGGAUAAGGCCUUCGGAACAAAGAUUUAUCGCCUAUAGAUGGGCCCGCGUUGGAUUAAAUAGUUGGUGGGGUAAUGGCCUACCAAGUCGACGAUCCAUAGCUGGUCUGAGAGGAUGAUCAGCCACUCUGGGACUGAGACACGGCCCAGACUCCUACCGGAGGCACCAGUGGGGAAUCUUGGACAAUGGGCGAUGGCCUGAUCCAGACAUGCCGCGUGAGUGAGGACCGCCUUAGGGUUGUGAAGCUCUUUCGCUAGGGAUGAUUAUGACAGUACCUACUAAAGAAACCCCGGCUAACUUCGUGCCAGCUACCGCGGUAAUACUCGGGGAGCUAGCGUUGUUCGGAAUUACUGGGCGUAAAGCGCGCGUAGGCAGAUUGUAAGUCAGGGCUGAAAUCCCGGGGCUCAAGCUCGGAACUGCCCCUGAUACUGGCGGUCUUGAGUACGCGAGAGGUGAGUGGAACAUCCGAGUGUAGAGGUGACAUUCGUAGAUGUUCGGAAGAACACCAGUGGCCGAAGGCGUCUCAGUGACACGCUACUGACUCUGAAGUGCUAAAGCGUGCGGAAGCAAACAUGAUGAGAUACCUCUGGUAGUCCACGCCCGUAGACGAUGA
This 612-nucleotide ribosomal RNA is filed under the name Acuticoccus yangtzensis. RNAcentral's name for it is "bacterial SSU rRNA". It matches the Rfam family "Bacterial small subunit ribosomal RNA", at positions 184 to 812 of the family's 1533-position model. The record is from RNAcentral. Lineage: Bacteria; Pseudomonadati; Pseudomonadota; Alphaproteobacteria; Hyphomicrobiales; Amorphaceae.